Molecule: RNA transcript, 2140 nt
Organism: Dermochelys coriacea (leatherback sea turtle)
Lineage: Eukaryota; Metazoa; Chordata; Testudines; Dermochelyidae
Gene: PACRGL
Gene name: parkin coregulated like
Exons: 10
Source: RefSeq, a predicted model, not a curated record
CGCCACGCGCCUGGGACGGGCGGGACUAUAGCGCAGAACUGGCGGGGGAAGGUUCACGAACAGCCCCCCCCCGCGAAUUGCCGAGUCCGCCCACAGCCGCGCAUGCUCCCCAGCCCCGCCUCCAGGCUCUUCGCAGGAAGUUUGGCCUUUCCGCAGCCCGUAGGCGCAGCGGAGCUUCCUUAGCAACCGGCGGGACGGGAGGUGUCGCUGUGACCGAGGAGCUGCGGAACCCCGGCGUCUAGCGGACCUGGAAUUUAUGAUAAAAGAAUGUCAUCAGGUUUCCAGAUAAAACCAAAGACUGCAAUACAGAAAAGCAAGACAUCUUCAUCUAGUUCUCCAGAUCUUGCGGUUAAGCCACAACCAAGGCCCAGUGAUAAACUUAACCCCAAAACUAUUGAUCCGUUUGGGGAUCAUUCAAAAGCUCCUUCUGCAUUUUCUGCCAUUUACUCUAAAGGUGGUAUACCUUGCAGGUUGGUUCAUGGCUCAGUAAAACACAAAUUACAGUGGGAGUGUCUUCCUGAAACUCUUCCAUUUGAUCCUCUUCUUAUUACUUUAGCUGAGGGACUAAGAGAGACAAAACACCCAUAUACAUUUGUAUCAAAGGAGGGCUUUAAGGAAUUACUCUUGGUUGAAGAUGCUACUGAAAAAGCAAUUCCCUUGUUGCCUCGACUAGUUCCAGUGUUAAAGGCUACUCUGGCCCAUUCAAACAGUGAAGUAUUUGAAAGAGGAUUGAAUGCUUUGGUACAGCUGAGUGCCAUUGUUGGCCCUGCUCUUAAUGAUCAGCUGAAACAUCUACUCACAAGCAUUUCAAAGAGGUUAAUGGACAAGAAAUUCAAAGAGCAAAUCACUGUUGCGUUACAAAAGCUAGAGCAGUAUGGUGGAAAGGAGAGUGUAACUAUCAUCAAAUCUAAAAUUCCAACCUAUUGUUCUAUCUCCUUUUGAAUGAGAGAACCAUAUAGUCAUUUACACUGCAUGGUGUGACUGUGGGCGUCAGAAGCUGACUGUGGAUGCUGUUGGAAUUUCCUUAUGGUACAACUUAUUCUAGUAAAACUAACCACAAACAUUCUGUAAUCUGGCUUGGGAGAAAAAUUGAAGAUUAAGUGAAGUGUCCUCAUAACAUCUUGUGAAAAAGUGUAAUUAUGGUAAACAGUUAUAUCAUUUUUAUUAUAUAAAUCUUUUUGUGUAUCCAGUCUUAUGUUUACAGUUGCAGUCAAUAAUUGAUUAUCUACCAUCCAUUUUUUCAGCUGUAAACAAAGUAAAUGUUAAGUUAUUUUUGCUGUACAUUCCUAUUUCCUUUAAUAAUUCUGCCACACUUACUGUGUUUAUCAAAUGUUACAUAAAAGGUAGAAUUUGAUUGUAAUUAUUAAUUAAGCAGUAACUAACUCACUGCUAAAGUGCAUAUACAUCUUUAUUUUAUAUAGGUAAAACUUGCAAUGAUCUCUUUCCAUGAUGAGUGUUGGAGAUGAAAAUUAAACAGACCAUUGAAACAGAUAUUAGACUGUCUAGAUAUUACUGCAUUCUGAGUACUGAAGUGAGAUGGAAGCUUCAAAAGACCAUUAUCUCCUUUUUCCUCAUUAAAACUGGAAUUUCCCAUGGAAUACCUAGAGGUUCAAGUAAAAAAAACCUGACAAAGUCCAUACCAUCUUUUAUAUUUCCUGUGCAGCUUUCAGGAUACAAGGUGUUUAUAAAUUGUUGCUCAUGGAUAGACAUGCUUUUCCUAGUCUUGCUUACCCAUACCUGUAUUGCAAAUUCUUGUCGUCUGGCCCCUUUUUCAUAUAUACUAAAAGGGCAAAACAUCGACUCUUAUUGUUGAUUUUCCUAAUCUCCUUUCCCCUAUCCAAGACAAUCCAAAUAGAUCUCGUAUAUCAAUUGAAAUCUACUGUAUUUUACUGCAUUUAUUGUUAGACAGAAUUGAUGGUUUUAGUUUGAGAAAAGAACUGUCAAUGGCUAUAACAAUCUGCAUGAUCUAAUCAGUUGUUGCCCUUUUCCAAGUUUGGAUCUCAACACUUGAUCUAAUGUAGUAUGACACCCUCUGUAUGUACCAUGCUUCUCUAGUAGCUUGUAACCUUGUACAAUGUACAAAUAACAAGAAGCUUUGGUAUUUAACUUUUUCAUAAUAAAAUUGCAGAACUUAUUUUUA